GCCGAGGUGGCGAAACUGGCAGACGCACAGGACUUAAAAUCCUGUGGAGCACUAGCUCCGUGCGGGUUCGAUCCCCGCCCUCGGCA
This 86-nucleotide transfer RNA is filed under the name Chloroflexota bacterium. RNAcentral's name for it is "tRNA-Leu". It matches the Rfam family "tRNA". From Rfam's summary of the family: Transfer RNA (tRNA) molecules are approximately 80 nucleotides in length. Their secondary structure includes four short double-helical elements and three loops (D, anti-codon, and T loops). Further hydrogen bonds mediate the characteristic L-shaped molecular structure. tRNAs have two regions of fundamental functional importance: the anti-codon, which is responsible for specific mRNA codon recognition, and the 3' end, to which the tRNAs corresponding amino acid is attached (by aminoacyl-tRNA synthetases). tRNAs cope with the degeneracy of the genetic code in two manners: having more than one tRNA (with a specific anti-codon) for a particular amino acid; and 'wobble' base-pairing, i.e. permitting non-standard base-pairing at the 3rd anti-codon position. Lineage: Bacteria; Bacillati; Chloroflexota. RNAcentral also lists the same sequence under 1 other name. The record is from RNAcentral.